RNAcentral lists this ribosomal RNA (500 nucleotides) under uncultured bacterium. Its description in RNAcentral is "partial 16S ribosomal RNA". It matches the Rfam family "Bacterial small subunit ribosomal RNA", at positions 29 to 523 of the family's 1533-position model. The record is from RNAcentral.
AUUGAACGCUGGCGGAAUGCUUUACACAUGCAAGUCGAACGGCAGCACGGGGGCAACCCUGGUGGCGAGUGGCGAACGGGCGAGUAAUACAUCGGAACGUGCCCAGUCGGGGGGGAUAACGUAGCGAAAGUUACGCUAAUACCGCAUACGAUCUACGGAUGAAAGCGGGGGACCGUAAGGCCUCGCGCGAUUGGAUCGGCCGAUGUCAGAGUAGGUAGUUGGUGGGGUACAGGCUCACCAAGCCGACGAUCUGUAGCUGGUCUGAGAGGACGACCAGCCACACUGGUACUGAGACAGGGCCCGGACUCCUACGGGAGGCAGCAGUGGGGAAUUUUGGACAAUGGGCGCAAGCCUGAUCCAGCCAUUCCGCGUGUAGGAAGAAGGCCUUCGGGUUGUAAAGUGCUUUUGUCCGGAACGAAAGGGCUCUGGUUAAUACCUGGGGCUCAUGACGGUACCGUAAGAAUAAGCACCGGCUAACUACGUGCCAGCCGCCGCCGUAA